AUUGACAGUUGACAUUUGAAGGAUGUAACAAUUUGUGUCUGAUUUUGUGGUUAGCGUUAAGUCCUUCAACUUUUUGUUUACUGUUGUUUUAGUUAAUUAUCGAAAAUAUAUAAAAGUAAUUACGUAGGUACUUGUAGUAAAAGCACUUUUAGUAAAUUGAUUAAAAUUAUCUGUAUUUACUUUCUGCCGGAAAUAAAUUAACUGUGAGCAUAACAUUUUUAACGAUGUCUGGACCAGUACAAGAUGUUGUAGAAGAAGACGCAGCAGAUUUACAGUUUCCUAAAGAAUUUGAAAAUGCUGAGACAUUGCUGAUCUCAGAAGUAGACAUGUUAUUGGAGCAUAGGAAAGCGCAAAAUGAAUCAGCUGAAGAAGAACAAGAAUUCUCAGAAGUGUUUAUGAAGACACUCACAUACACUAAUAUGUUUAAGAAAUUCAAAA
This is a long non-coding RNA of Manduca sexta (tobacco hornworm), 438 nucleotides long. RefSeq lists it as uncharacterized. The transcript has 2 exons. The record is from RefSeq and is a predicted model, not a curated record. Lineage: Eukaryota; Metazoa; Arthropoda; Insecta; Lepidoptera; Sphingidae.